GAUGAAGAACGCAGCGAAAUGCGAUAAGUAAUGUGAAUUGCAGAAUUCCGUGAAUCAUCGAAUAUUUGAACGCACAUUGCGCCCCCUGGUAUUCCGGGGGGCAUGCCUGUCCGAGCGUCAUUGCAACCUUCAAGCGCGGCUUGUGUGUUGGGUCUCGUCCCCCGUGGACGGGCCCGAAAGGCAGUGGCGGCGUCCCGACAUGGUGCCCGAGCGUAUGGGAAUCCUCUUCCGCUCGAAUCGGCCCAUGCGGCGCUGGUCGUAACCAAAUUUUUUACCGGUUGACCUCGGAUCAGGUAGGGAUACCCGCUGAACUUAAGCAUAUCAAUAAGCGGAGGA
This 336-nucleotide unclassified non-coding RNA is filed under the name soil metagenome. RNAcentral describes it as "partial contains 5.8S ribosomal RNA, internal transcribed spacer 2, and large subunit ribosomal RNA". The stretch from base 1 to 120 matches the Rfam family "5.8S ribosomal RNA", at positions 35 to 154 of the family's 154-position model. The record is from RNAcentral.